Molecule: ribosomal RNA, 429 nt
Filed under: Chloroflexota bacterium
Lineage: Bacteria; Bacillati; Chloroflexota
Description: Chloroflexi bacterium partial 16S ribosomal RNA
Rfam family: Bacterial small subunit ribosomal RNA
Source: RNAcentral
UGGGGAAUAUUGCACAAUGGGCGCAAGCCUGAUGCAGCCAUGCCGCGUGUAUGAAGAAGGCCUUCGGGUUGUAAAGCACUUUCAGCGGGGAGGAAGGCGAUAAGGUUAAUAACCUUGUCGAUUGACGUUACCCGCAGAAGAAGCACCGGCUAACUCCGUGCCAGCAGCCGCGGUAAUACGGAGGGUGCAAGCGUUAAUCGGAAUUACUGGGCGUAAAGCGCACGCAGGCGGUCUGUCAAGUCGGAUGUGAAAUCCCCGGGCUCAACCUGGGAACUGCAUUCGAAACUGGCAGGCUAGAGUCUUGUAGAGGGGGGUAGAAUUCCAGGUGUAGCGGUGAAAUGCGUAGAGAUCUGGAGGAAGAACGGUGGCGAAGGCGGCCCCCUGGACAAAGACUGACGCUCAGGUGCGAAAGCGUGGGGAGCAAACAGG